This 821-nucleotide ribosomal RNA is filed under the name uncultured bacterium. RNAcentral describes it as "bacterial SSU rRNA". It matches the Rfam family "Bacterial small subunit ribosomal RNA", at positions 46 to 916 of the family's 1533-position model. The record is from RNAcentral.
GCCUAACACAUGCAAGUCGAACGCAGUAGCAAUACUGAGUGGCAGACGGGUGAGUAACAUGUGGGAAUCUGCCUUGUGGUUCAGGACAACAUUGGGAAACCGAUGCUAAUACUGGAUAAGCCCUUACGGGGAAAGUUUUAAUGCCAUAAGAUGAGCCCGCAUUUGAUUAGUUAGUUGGUGAGGUAAUGGCUCACCAAGACAAUGAUCAAUAGCUGAUCUGAGAGGAUGAUCAGCCACACUGGGACUGAGACACGGCCCAGACUCCUACGGGAGGCAGCAGUGGGGAAUCUUGCACAAUGGAGGAAACUCUGAUGCAGCGAUGCCGCGUGAGUGAAGAAGGCCUUUGGGUUGUAAAGCUCUUUUGUAGGGGAAGAUAAUGACUGUACCCUAAGAAUAAGGUCCGGCUAACUUCGUGCCAGCAGCCGCGGUAAUACGAAGGGACCUAGCGUAGUUCGGAAUUACUGGGCGUAAAGCGCGCGUAGGCCGUUGAGUUAGUUAAUUGUGAAAUCCCAAAGCUUAACUUUGGAACUGCAAUUAAAACUGCUCGACUAGAGUUUGAUAGAGGAAAGCGGAAUACAUAGUGUAGAGGUGAAAUUCGUAGAUAUUAUGUAGAACACCAGUUGCGAAGGCGGCUUUCUGGAUCAACACUGACGCUGAGGCGCGAAAGUAUGGGUAGCAAAGAGGAUUAGAUACCCUCGUAGUCCAUACCAUAAACGAUGAUUGCUAGAUGUUGGAAAUUUAUUUUCAGUAUCGCAGCUAACGCAUUAAGCAAUCCGCCUGGGGAGUACGACCGCAAGGUUAAAACUCAAAUGAAUUGACGG